RNAcentral lists this transfer RNA (75 nucleotides) under Gammaproteobacteria bacterium. RNAcentral's name for it is "tRNA-Trp". It matches the Rfam family "tRNA". Rfam says of the family: Transfer RNA (tRNA) molecules are approximately 80 nucleotides in length. The record is from RNAcentral. Lineage: Bacteria; Pseudomonadati; Pseudomonadota; Gammaproteobacteria. RNAcentral also lists the same sequence under 3 other names.
AGGGCAGUAGUUUCAACGGUAGAACGGUGGUCUCCAAAAUCACUAGUGGGGGUUCGAUUCCCUCCUGCCCUGCCA